RNAcentral lists this ribosomal RNA (374 nucleotides) under uncultured organism. RNAcentral's name for it is "partial 16S ribosomal RNA". It matches the Rfam family "Bacterial small subunit ribosomal RNA", at positions 526 to 896 of the family's 1533-position model. The record is from RNAcentral.
GUAGGUGGGCAAGCGUUGUCCGGAAUUAUUGGGGCGUAAAGCGCGCGCAGGCGGUCCUUUAAGUCUGAUGUGAAAGCCCACGGCUCAACCGUGGAGGGUCAUUGGAAACUGGGGGACUUGAGUACAGAAGAGGAAAGCGGAAUUCCAAGUGUAGCGGUGAAAUGCGUAGAGAUUUGGAGGAACACCAGUGGCGAAGGCGGCUUUCUGGUCUGUAACUGACGCUGAGGCGCGAAAGCGUGGGGAGCAAACAGGAUUAGGUACCCUGGUAGUCCACGCCGUAAACGAUGAGUGCUAAGUGUUAGGGGGUUUCCGCCCCUUAGUGCUGCAGCUAACGCAUUAAGCACUCCGCCUGGGGAGUACGGCCGCAAAGGCUA